Molecule: ribosomal RNA, 253 nt
Filed under: uncultured bacterium
Lineage: Bacteria
Description: partial 16S ribosomal RNA
Rfam family: Bacterial small subunit ribosomal RNA
Source: RNAcentral
UACAGAGGGGGCAAGCGUUGUUCGGAAUUACUGGGCGUAAAGGGCGCGUAGGCGGCCUGCUAAGUCGAACGUGAAAUCCCUGGGCUCAACCCAGGAACUGCGUCCGAUACUGGUUGGCUUGAAUCCGGGAGAGGGAUGUGGAAUUCCAGGUGUAGCGGUGAAAUGCGUAGAUAUCAGGAAGAACACCAAUGGCGAAGGCAGCUCUCUGGGACGGUACUGACGCUGAGACGCGAAAGCGUGGGGAGCGAACAGG